This 253-nucleotide ribosomal RNA is filed under the name uncultured bacterium. RNAcentral's name for it is "partial 16S ribosomal RNA". It matches the Rfam family "Bacterial small subunit ribosomal RNA", at positions 524 to 776 of the family's 1533-position model. The record is from RNAcentral.
UACAGAGGGUGCGAGCGUUAAUCGGAAUUACUGGGCGUAAAGCGUGCGUAGACGGUUAUUUAAGUCGGGUGUGAAAGCCCCGGGCUCAACCUGGGAAUUGCAUUCGAGACUGAAUAGCUAGGGUACGGUAGAGGGAAGCGGAAUUUCCGGUGUAGCGGUGAAAUGCGCAGAUAUCAGGAAGAACACCCGUGGCGAAGGCGGUUCUCUGGGACGGUACUGACGCUGAGACGCGAAAGCGUGGGGAGCGAACAGG